GGAGAGAGGGGAGGGGGCUGCACCGCAACAGGCUCUGGAAAUCCAGCCUCCUGUGUUGGGUGCACAGUCGGAAUUUCCUUAUUACCUGAAGCAAAUGCAAAUUCAGUAGGAGGCAGAGCUACAGGCUGUUCCACGUAGCGUUGCUGCAGCUGCAGUAGAUAAUUGUUUCCAGCAUCAAGCUGUAGAUAACCGACAACAGCACUCACCUCUGCAGGACUUGGAUUUGCUGGACAGGC
Schistocerca serialis cubense is the source of this 236-nucleotide long non-coding RNA. RefSeq lists it as uncharacterized. Lineage: Eukaryota; Metazoa; Arthropoda; Insecta; Orthoptera; Acrididae. The transcript has 3 exons. The record is from RefSeq and is a predicted model, not a curated record.